This 213-nucleotide unclassified non-coding RNA is filed under the name uncultured Rozellomycota. RNAcentral's name for it is "uncultured Cryptomycota sequence contains ITS2". Lineage: Eukaryota; Fungi; Rozellomycota. The record is from RNAcentral.
AAACCCAUCCUACCGAUUAGGUAGGGACUUGUCGGUCGAGUGCGUCUUGUGCGCAUCCGUCGAUUAAAAGUAGUAGGUCUAGUCAGGCUGGUGGCCUGGGACAUUGUGUGCUAGAGACGUCGCUUCGGCUACUGUCUUCUCACAGUGCGUCCCUUGCUAUACAAGCCGGUCUGGUUUUGGCCUCCACAGUCAUCGUAAGGUGACAACCCCCCU